Metopolophium dirhodum (rose-grain aphid) is the source of this 716-nucleotide long non-coding RNA. RefSeq lists it as uncharacterized. The record is from RefSeq and is a predicted model, not a curated record. Lineage: Eukaryota; Metazoa; Arthropoda; Insecta; Hemiptera; Aphididae. The transcript has 3 exons.
CAAACCGCUAAUUAUCGCAUUCUUUUUUUUUUGUUACUAUAUUAUUAUGUAAUCCAUAAAAAUAAUAAAAUAAUAAAAUACAAAAAAAAAAUUCGGUCCAGAAGGUGCUCCUGGUGAAAAUUAAUUUGGCACUCAAAGGCAUUGAGGUGUAACAGCAUUUUAGGGGCUAUUGUAAUUCCCACUUCCAGGACUUGAUAAUACAUACAGCCGACAGCCCGAUGACCUACAUUUUUGUGUAUUCUGGUCUACCCUAUGAUGGCCGCGAAGUAACGAUCACGUCACCGUUUAUCAGAUUGCCCAGUUUGAAGGAGUCUCCAACAAUUUCAUCGGAUAGGUACGCCAUAAAUCGUGGCAUAGCGCUGGGCCAGAAUCAUUUUGUCCGGAUCAAUAUGUACAAAAAUGACAUCCCAAUUAUUAGAAGCUAAUAAUAUAGUGUCUUUGUCGAACAGUCAGCUGUACGAAGUUUCCGCUGUUCCACAAAACGGGUCGACGCCGGUCGCUGAACAUGGGAUGUCCUCAAGUCCACCCAGCAUCGUAUUGAUGAAUCAACAAUACAUCUUACAUCUUACAUCUAACAUCUUACAUCUAUCAUUGCAAUCUUAUAAGUUAUAAUUAUUCACCUGAAUGCAUGUAAUCCUGAAUGUACAGUUAAUUUAUUACUACCCAUCUACAAAGUCAACACUGUAUUAAUAAAAGUAUUUAUUGUUAAAAUAAAA